CCUACGGGGGGCAGCAGUGAGGAAUAUUGGUCAAUGGCCGUAAGGCUGAACCAGCCAAGUCGCGUGAAGGAAGAAGGAUCUAUGGUUUGUAAACUUCUUUUAUAGGGGAAUAAAGGUAUCCACGUGUGGCUAUUUGCAUGUACCCUAUGAAUAAGCAUCGGCUAACUCCGUGCCAGCAGCCGCGGUAAUACGGAGGAUGCGAGCGUUAUCCGGAUUUAUUGGGUUUAAAGGGUGCGUAGGUUGUUUGUUAAGUCAGCGGUGAAAGUUUGUGGCUCAACCAUAAAAUUGCCGUUGAAACUGGAAGACUUGAGUGUGUUUGAGGUAGGCGGAAUGCGUGGUGUAGCGGUGAAAUGCAUAGAUAUCACGCAGAACUCCGAUUGCGAAGGCAGCUUACUAAGCCAUAACUGACACUGAUGCACGAAAGCGUGGGGAUCAAACAGGAUUAGAUACCCGAGUAGUC
RNAcentral lists this ribosomal RNA (460 nucleotides) under uncultured bacterium. Its description in RNAcentral is "partial 16S ribosomal RNA". It matches the Rfam family "Bacterial small subunit ribosomal RNA", at positions 338 to 795 of the family's 1533-position model. The record is from RNAcentral.